GGGAUCCUAGCCUCUAAUAGUGUGUUCUAGUAGGCUUCUGGGUAUACUAGCACUCUCAAUUGCUGGGUAUGUCCACAACUCGCCUAUUCUUUUCAAUUUCCUAUUCCCUUAAACCCCUAUGUGCACCUACUUGUAACCGUUUCCCUUCCCAUUUCCCUUCUCAGAGUUAUGAUCUUGCACUCUCUCUUAGUUUUAAAUUCUUCCCCCCGUUGUGAGCCUUGCCUUGGGACCUUGAGUUCCCUCUGUACUUGGACACUUGAGGGCUAGACUUUCCACUGUACUAUGUCUUAAUUUGGUGAUACAUUUGGGUGUGAGCAUUGCCUGAAGUCCCCUUUGAGGCUCUUAGGGAACUUUGACACAUCCAAAUGGGAUAAAGGC
Molecule: long non-coding RNA, 378 nt
Filed under: Nicotiana benthamiana
Lineage: Eukaryota; Viridiplantae; Streptophyta; Magnoliopsida; Solanales; Solanaceae
Description: long non-coding RNA (NBEN_LNC008521)
Source: RNAcentral